Long non-coding RNA from Haplochromis burtoni (Burton's mouthbrooder), 2050 nucleotides. RefSeq lists it as uncharacterized. The transcript is spliced from 3 exons. Lineage: Eukaryota; Metazoa; Chordata; Actinopteri; Cichliformes; Cichlidae. The record is from RefSeq and is a predicted model, not a curated record.
GAGCCAGGAAGAGGAGUUGAGGAAGGCAGGAAGAAGGAGCCUGGCUGAGAACAAGGACUAUGUUCAGGUGUGAGCACUGCAGCUGCAGCACAGCUGUGGACUCCACCCUGAUGAUUGUUUGAGGGAGUGAAUUUUCUCUGUUUAGUUUGAUAUUUAAACAUGUUUGAGUGAUUUGUUGCCUCUGAUUGGCAGCUGAAAACUAUGUGAAAAAUGAUUGCAUAUUUGAUAGUGGAUCCUUCUUUAGCCAGGUUUGUCACACAGUUUCUUCUUAUUCAGCAUUUAAACAGACACAUCUGUGUCUACAGUUUGAAACAACUCACAUCGAAAAAAGUUUAAAUGUGGAGCAGUGCUUUCAAAUGAAAAGCCUGAUAUUUUUACAUGUUUUGCAUUAUUCUUAUGUGUUUGAUCUGGGGUCCACUGGUACUAGAAAUUGUCAUUAUAUAAAACAUAUGAUUGAAAUGAAUGUAUCCUCACCUAAACCUCAGACGUCUGUCAUAAACAUGUUAUAAAUACCAAUAUCAAUACCAACUUGUAUUGGUACCAAGGAGGCUCAGGCAUGUCUGUACGUGUCCUGUGGUUAGGUUUAGGCAUUCAUUUUUAAAUGUCAAAGUUAGGGCAAGUGGCUAGUGGGAAUGCAUUAUGUCAAUGAGAUGUCCCCACGAAGAUAGCAAGACCCGACGUGUGUGUGUGUGUGUGUGCAUGUCUGUGUGCAUGUGUUUUUUCUCUUGCUUCAUGAGAAGCUUGCAGAGUUUUGCAAGAGUGGCAUGCAGUUUCCAUGGUGACAUUAAUGUUUACUUGAAUGCUUACGUCCGUUUUGUCUUUUGACCGAAAGACACAAGAGGGGGAUUCCUGUAGCAGAGGCUGUGUGUGUGUGUGUGUAUGUAUGUAUGAGUGUGUGUGUGUGUGUGUGUGUGUGUGUGGUGUGUUCUCCUCAAGCCCUCAGCUGUUAAGAUGCCCAGUUCACAAGAAAUGUAACACCCUUUGUAAGUCUUUACAGUCCUUUCUAAUUACAUCUUUGAGUACAAACACAUUUGUUGUUUUAUCUGCACAUUUAUUAAUUAUGACUCACUAAAGCAGAGAUCUCUCUCUGGCCCCAUAUUCAAAAAACCUGCUAAGCACUUUUGCAUGGAGGAUGGAAACAAUAACAAUAACUCUCAGAUUUUUUUUGUGAUGUACUAAAUCUUCUUUAACGUUGUUUUAAAAAGGAAAUAAGUGAAAUGAUUCAAAAUCAAAUUUGGGAUCAUAUUUUUUUUUAUCUUUGCAAUGAAAAUUUCUUUACUCCUUCUGUCUUUGCAGUUUACUUUCAUUUUACUGAUUCUGCUGAGUCACUGGCCAUUUCAGCAGAAACCUGUCAUAAAGUCUCUGGUUCCUUUUUGCUGUGUGCGUCUUUUUCCUGCCCGUCACUUGUUAUUUAUCCUUGUAAAGAAUAAGAAGUGACACUGGAGCGACACAGAGCCCUUAUCCUCACAGUGCAGCGGUGGAUUCAGCCUGUUUAAGCAGGAGGAGCAGUGAGUCCUGAGGCUGUGCUACCAACCAGGAUUUCAUCUGAUCCAGGUAACUUCAGGGUCUCUGUACUGCUGGGGUAAAUCACCACGGACAACCUGAGAUGGAUACUUGCAAAUCUGUGAUAUUCUGCUGGAUUCUGCUCGUCUGCUUUUCACCGGCUGAAUAUGCAGGUGAGACCAGCAGGUAUCACUGUGUCUACUGCUGGGAACUGAAUUUCUUUCAUUGUCACUUUAUAUAUAUACAAUUUAGAUUAUUAAAUUCUAAAUAAUUAAAAAGCUCAUUUACACCAUGUUCCCCCCUUAUAGCACUUUUUGGUCUGCUGAUAGAAGGAGGGACAGAGGGAAGUACUGAAUAGUUGUUGCUGAGCAGGAAUAUUUCAUGGGAUGCUGACAUAGCAACUUUUCCCGUCUUUAUCUUACACACAUAUUAUGUGAGAAUUGUAAAGAAUGACCAAAAGGUAACAAAAAUAGUACCAAUAAUUUUGAUAAUGAUGAUAAUAAAGACAGGUUUGUGCGUAUGUGCUGUUGGGCCAAUGAGACUCACU